GCAGGUGGUUCGGUAAGUUGGAUGUGAAAGCUCCUGGCUCAACUGGGAGAGGUCGUUCAAUACUACCGGACUUGAGAGCAGUAGAGGGAGGUGGAAUUCCCGGUGUAGUGGUGAAAUGCGUAGAUAUCGGGAGGAACACCAGUGGCGAAAGCGGCCUCCUGGACUGUUUCUGACACUCAUAUGCGAAAGCUAGGGUAGCAAACGGGAUUAGAGACCCCGGUAGUCCUAGCUGUAAACGAUGUGAACUUGGCGUCGGCGGGUUCAAAGCCGUCGGUGCCGAAGCCAACGCGAUAAGUUCACCGCCUGGGGGCUACGGCCGCAAGGUUA
This 327-nucleotide ribosomal RNA is filed under the name uncultured bacterium. RNAcentral describes it as "bacterial SSU rRNA". It matches the Rfam family "Bacterial small subunit ribosomal RNA", at positions 571 to 896 of the family's 1533-position model. The record is from RNAcentral.